RNAcentral lists this long non-coding RNA (295 nucleotides) under Elaeis guineensis (African oil palm). RNAcentral's name for it is "long non-coding RNA (EGUI_LNC081584)". The record is from RNAcentral. Lineage: Eukaryota; Viridiplantae; Streptophyta; Magnoliopsida; Arecales; Arecaceae.
CUGGGACUCUCUCUCAUCUCUUACGGCAGAAAGGAGGGGUGCACAUGGGGAUGCAUGCCCCCUUCUUUAGCAUGCGUAAGAAAGAGAGAGGGCACCCAAGCUCCUCCUUAUGUUUAUCUCCUUAGCCACAUUCCAUUUGAGAUUGAAUGAAGGAUUCAUUCAAAUAUUUGAUAAGGAUGAAAGUUCAUUUGAACUUAAACCCUUAUCAUGAUAAGAUUAGAUCUUAUUCUCUCCUCUUUGUUGCCCAGAGUGGAUGCCAAUACCAGAUUGGCAUCGCACAAGAAAAUGGAUAGGG